This is a long non-coding RNA of Rhagoletis zephyria (snowberry fruit fly), 119 nucleotides long. RefSeq lists it as uncharacterized. The record is from RefSeq and is a predicted model, not a curated record. NCBI's taxonomy places the organism in Eukaryota, Metazoa, Arthropoda, Insecta, Diptera, Tephritidae.
CAAAUUUCUACUGUUGUAGGAUUUUUGACCUAGUUAGAAUUUUUAAGGAUAAUCGAGUUGUAUUUUUUAAUCCUGCAAUAGAAGAUCCCAAUUUUAGCUCAAACAGUUGUUUAUGAUGA